ACUUUUAAUGGAAAACAGGCAUCCGCUGGUUU
Molecule: transfer RNA, 32 nt
Filed under: Trioceros hoehnelii
Lineage: Eukaryota; Metazoa; Chordata; Lepidosauria; Squamata; Chamaeleonidae
Also listed under: 1 other name
Description: partial tRNA-Leu
Source: RNAcentral